Molecule: ribosomal RNA, 482 nt
Filed under: uncultured bacterium
Lineage: Bacteria
Description: partial 16S ribosomal RNA
Rfam family: Bacterial small subunit ribosomal RNA
Source: RNAcentral
AAUGAACGUUGGCGGCGUGGAUUAGGCAUGCAAGUCGAGCGAGAACCGUAGCAAUACGGGGACAGCGGCGAAAGGGAGAGUAAUACGUGGAUACCUACCCUCGGGUUCGGGAUAGCUGCGGGAAACUGCAGGUAAUACCGAAUAACAUCUCCGGAUCAAAGGUGUGAUUCCGCCCGGGGAGGGGUCCGCGUCCUAUUAGCUUGUUGGUGAGGUAACGGCUCACCAAGGCGAAGAUGGGUACGGGGUGUGAGAGCAUGCCCCCGCUCACUGGGACUGAGACACUGCCCAGACACCCACGGGUGGCUGCAGUCGAGAAUCUUCGGCAAUGGGCGCAAGCCUGACCGAGCGACGCCGCGUGCGAGAUGAAGGCCUUCGGGUUGUAAAUCGCUGUCAGUGGGGAGGAAAUGCCAUAGGGUUCUCUCAAUGGUUUGACCUAUCCGCAGAGGAAGGAUGGGCUAAGUUCGUGCCAGCAGCCGCAGUAA